CGCCAGACUCCUACGGGAGGCAGCAGUGGGGAAUAUUGGACAAUGGGGGGAACCCUGAUCCAGCGACGCCGCGUGAGUGAAGAAGUAUUUCGGUAUGUAAAGCUCUAUCAGCAGGGAAGAAAGAAAUGACGGUACCUGACUAAGAAGCCCCGGCUAACUAUGUGCCGGCAGCCGCGGUAAUACGUAGGGGGCAAGCGUUAUCCGGAUUUACUGGGUGUAAAGGGAGCGUAGACGGAAAGGCAAGUCAGAAGUGAAAGCCCAAGGCUCAACCAUGGGACUGCUUUUGAAACUGUCAAACUAGAGUACGGGAGAGGUAAGAGGAAUUCCUAGUGUAGCGGUGAAAUGCGUAGAUAUUAGGAGGAACACCAGUGGCGAAGGCGGCUUACUGGACCGAAACUGACGUUGAGGCUCGAAAGCGUGGGGAGCAAACAGGAUUAGAUACCCGCGUAU
This 450-nucleotide ribosomal RNA is filed under the name uncultured bacterium. RNAcentral describes it as "bacterial SSU rRNA". It matches the Rfam family "Bacterial small subunit ribosomal RNA", at positions 329 to 793 of the family's 1533-position model. The record is from RNAcentral.